GAUGAACGCUGGCUACAGGCUUAACACAUGCAAGUCGAGGGGAAACGGCAUUGAGUGCUUGCACUGAAUGGACGUCGACCGGCGCACGGGUGAGUAACGCGUGUCCAACCUUCCCGUUACUGCGGGAUAACCUGCCGAAAGGCAGACUAAUACCGCAUGUUCUUCGAUGACGGCAUCAGAUUCGAAGCAAAGAUCCGUCGGUAACGGAGGGGGAUGCGUCUGAUUAGCUGGUUGGCGGGGCGACGGCCCACCAAGGCGACGAUCAGUAGGGGUUCUGAGAGGAAGGUCCCCCACAUUGGAACUGAGACACGGUCCAAACUCCUACGGGAGGCAGCAGUGAGGAAUAUUGGUCAAUGGGCGGAAGCCUGAACCAGCCAAGUAGCGUGCAGGAGGACGGCCCUACGGGUUGUAAACUGCUUUUAUGCGGGGAUAAAGUGAGGGACGCGUCCCUUUUUGCAGGUACCGCAUGAAUAAGGACCGGCUAAUUCCGUGCCAGCAGCCGCGGUAAUACGGAAGGUCCGGGCGUUAUCCGGAUUUAUUGGGUUUAAAGGGAGCGUAGGCCGGGGAUUAAGUGUGUUGCGAAAUGUAGGCGCCCAACGUCUGACUUGCAGCGCAUACUGGUUCCCUUGAGUACGCGCAACGCCGGCGGAAUUCGUCGUGUAGCGGUGAAAUGCUUAGAUAUGACGAAGAACCCCGAUUGCGAAGGCAGCCGGCGGGAGCGCAACUGACGCUGAAGCUCGAAGGUGCGGGUAUCGAACAGG
RNAcentral lists this ribosomal RNA (761 nucleotides) under uncultured Prevotella sp. RNAcentral's name for it is "bacterial SSU rRNA". It matches the Rfam family "Bacterial small subunit ribosomal RNA", at positions 28 to 776 of the family's 1533-position model. Lineage: Bacteria; Pseudomonadati; Bacteroidota; Bacteroidia; Bacteroidales; Prevotellaceae. The record is from RNAcentral.